GUAGUUGAACCUUGGGCCUGGCUGGCCGGUCCGCCUCACCGCGUGUACUGGUCCGGCCGGGCCUUUCCCUCUGUGGAACCCCAUGCCCUUCACUGGGCGUGGCGGGGAAACAGGACUUUUACUGUGAAAAAAUUAGAGUGCUCCAGGCAGGCCUAUGCUCGAAUACAUUAGCAUGGAAUAAUAGAAUAGGACGUGUGGUUCUAUUUUGUUGGUUUCUAGGACCGCCGUAAUGAUUAAUAGGGACAGUCGGGGGCAUCAGUAUUCAAUUGUCAGAGGUGAAAUUCUUGGAUUUAUUGAAGACUAACUACUGCGAAAGCAUUUGCCAAGGAUGUUUUCAUUAAUCAGGAACGAAAGUUAGGGGAUCGAAGACGAUCAGAUACCGUCGUAGUCUUAACCAUAAACUAUGCCGACUAGGGAUCGGACGGUGUUAUUUUUUGACCCGUUCGGCACCUUACGAGAAAUCAAAGUGCUUGGGCUCCAGGGGGAGUAUGGUCGCAAGGCUGAAACUUAAAGAAAUUGACGGAAGGGCACCACCAGGGGUGGAGCCUGCGGCUUAAUU
RNAcentral lists this ribosomal RNA (559 nucleotides) under Fusarium sporotrichioides. RNAcentral's name for it is "SSU rRNA". It matches the Rfam family "Eukaryotic small subunit ribosomal RNA", at positions 630 to 1195 of the family's 1831-position model. The record is from RNAcentral. Lineage: Eukaryota; Fungi; Ascomycota; Sordariomycetes; Hypocreales; Nectriaceae.